UAACGACUCUCGGCAACGGAUAUCUCGGCUNUCGCAUCGAUGAAGAACGUAGCGAAAUGCGAUACUUGGUGUGAAUUGCAGAAUCCCGUGAACCAUCGAGUCUUUGAACGCAAGUUGCGCCCGAAGCCAUUAGGCCGAGGGCACAUCUGCC
RNAcentral lists this ribosomal RNA (151 nucleotides) under Diplacus aurantiacus. RNAcentral describes it as "5.8S ribosomal RNA". It matches the Rfam family "5.8S ribosomal RNA". Rfam says of the family: 5.8S ribosomal RNA (5.8S rRNA) is a component of the large subunit of the eukaryotic ribosome. It is transcribed by RNA polymerase I as part of the 45S precursor that also contains 18S and 28S rRNA. Lineage: Eukaryota; Viridiplantae; Streptophyta; Magnoliopsida; Lamiales; Phrymaceae. The record is from RNAcentral.